Long non-coding RNA from Rhagoletis zephyria (snowberry fruit fly), 2457 nucleotides. RefSeq lists it as uncharacterized. The record is from RefSeq and is a predicted model, not a curated record. Lineage: Eukaryota; Metazoa; Arthropoda; Insecta; Diptera; Tephritidae.
UAGAAAGGGGUAACGUAAAAAGAUAGGAAAUUAAAUUCGCUAAAGUAGGGAAUUUAGCGAUUUCCAAAGCGUUUCUGAUAAGCAAAAAUUUAAAGUUUUGUAUUAUAUUCGACAGUUUUUGAAAAUACAUAUCAUAGUCAAAACCAAAUCUCAUACAACCUUUUUGCCUCCACAUACAUACAUACAUAUAUGUAUAUGGGUAAGUGUACUUAAUCUACAAACGUAACGUUAUGCUCAACACGCGCAACAUCUCAAGCAAAUUUACUGUCUAACUAACGAACUCGUCCGAAUGCUGGGGGAAGACCAGAAGGUUGCGCAGUCUCAAACAAACAAUCAAUAGCUAUGCCUUAAAAUAACCAUAGCUCUAAUCGCAAAGCCAAUGGAGGCAAGGUAGCAGGGCUACACUACAAAAUCGAAGCAAUGGACAGUGCGGCGACUUAGCGACCAGCAAUAAGUGAACUGGUUUUCUCAGCUCAUUAAGGAAGAAAACUAGUUUUGGGGUUUUCCUUUGAAGCCAGCGAUAAAUAAACGAAUAAAGCAACAAGUGUGCGCGUGUGUGUAUAGUAGUAGGAAGUUAAGUAAAGAGCUUGAUCAUAGUGGGAAAGACCAGUGAGCAGUGAGUGGAAGAAAAGGGGAAUAGUAGAGAGAAGAUAUAUAGAUAUUUGCAAGAGAAGAUAUAUAGAUAUUUGAAAGAGAAUUGAGUAUUUUAAUAGAGCGGAAGAAGACAUGAUCAAAACGAGGAAGUCCGCGAUAAAUUAAAGCCGUUAAAAUUUAAAUGGAUAACUUUUUCUCUACAGCGGACAUAAAAAUUAGCUCUGGAGUUGAAAAAAUUUUAACAAUUUUAAUCAAAUAUUUAGCUAUUAAAUUCAUGUGAACUAAAUAACUGAGUUGCAUUUUUGUAUAUCUUUAUUUGGACUUAUUAUUUUAAUAUGUUUAGGUAUUACAUAUAUCGGUAAUAAAAGCAAAAAAUUAGCGACUUCAAAAAUUCGAAAAUAGCGUAGUACAUACAUGAAAUUCUUCUGUAGUAAUUGAUUUUCUAAUUACAUACAUAAAUGUGUAUGCGUAUCAAAUAACAAACCGGCACAGAUAUACAUAUUUAUCUAUUGGCUUAACAAAGUGCAUUAUGAAAUUGUUUAUAUCUACAUAAACGUGUGCAUUUGAAUAGUAAUAGUAAUAUAUAGAAAUCUGUAGGUAUACUCUACACUAUCUACAUAUCUGAUCAAGAACUCUGUAAAUGUGUAAAGUACUAGGUGCAUUCUUUUGCAACCGAGCUACAAAAGAACACUCGCUUAAAUGACAAAAUACACGCAAAGCAACAACGCAAACUCGGCUAUUUAUCCGAGCUCAACCAGGUCGGUUAAAAAAUACGCGACCUGAAGGGUAGUGUUGUUAAGUGAAAAAAACUGCUCUAUUGCGAAUUGUUAAUGGGAAAGUGGAGAGGGAAAUUUUUGUUUCCUUGUAUACGUGACUUAUGUUUUAAACAAGUAUAUAUAUUACGCGAAUACCUCGCAUAAUUACUCAAUCAAAUUGGUUUUUGUAUUUAAAUCCCGUUAAACAAAUCACACGUUUCUUAUCAGCUACCAACAGGGUUGCUUAAGUAGCUAAAAGGAAAUUUUUACCCGAAUUGAGCGUUCUUUUGUCGCUCGCUUACAAAAAAAUGCAGUACUAUUUAUGUAAUUAAACCGGCGCCAAUAUAUUUAACUAUGUAUGUACUAUGUAGAUCGUAUUGAACACCAACUUUGAUGUAGUUGAUUUUUUAAUAUUAUUUACUAACACAAAAUUGAUUUACGGUCUGAGAUCGCUUAAAUAAGACUACAAAUACAAAGUAUGCAUAAUAUUUUACGUCUUAGACGGAUUUAAAAUAUCAGCUUGCGUUAAGUUUCAGUUGUAUUUGAAGAUGGGGUAGGGCUAAAAUAUUUACACUUGUCCACGGAACAAAAGAGGUCCGAUGCCUUGACCUGUUCUGACAAUGAGCUUGUUCGAGUUGCAAUCAGAACUGCAGUAUUGCGCGAAUCAUUAAAGUAUCACGUUCGGUGUUAAAUUCUAGCAAUGUUGUAUCACUUGAGAAUUUGCAACAGUGUUGCACAUUUUCAUCAGUGCUGCAGUCUUGCCGAUUUUAUUACGAACCUCGAACAAGUCCAAUUUCUCUUUUUAUUUGAUGUUAUUUGUACAAAAAUUAUAAAAAUUCUACAAAGUUUCACCAAAAUGUCAAAUGCAGUUUUGUAGCCUAUUAAAUUGUAGUGUAAUGAUGAGCAAGUUUCAUGCUGCUAAAAAUAUCGUUGAUUUUUUAGCAUUGUCUUCCAUAUAAAAGAAAAUUACUUGUGUGGAAAAAAUGCGAAACACCUUCAACAAAAAAAGUCUUGAAAAUCAACGGGAGUUUUUACCAACAUGAAACAUGCAUUUUCUAAUAAUAAAGUUUAGUGGGCUAUAAACAUGCAUACGAAUUUUGUGUAAAGA